GAUGAACGCUAGCGGGAGGCCUAACACAUGCAAGCCGAGCGGGAUUUGUUGGUUAUCUUGCUAACUAACAAUGAGAGCGGCGUACGGGUGCCUAGCACGUGUGCAACCUGCCUUUAUCUGGGGGAUAGCCUUUCGCAAGGAAGAUUAAUACCCCAUAACAUAUUGAUUGGCAUCAGUUAAUAUUGAAAGCUCCGGCGGAUAGAGAUGGGCACGCGUAAGAUUAUCUAGUUGGUGAGGUAACGGCUCACCAAGGCUGCGAUCUUUAGGGGGCGUGAGGGGGUGAUCCACCAGAAUGGUACUGAGACACGGACCAGACUGCUACGGGAGGCAGCAGUGAGGAAUAUUGGACAAUGGGUGAGAGCCUGAUCCAGCCAUCCCGCGUGAAGGACUAAGGACCUAUGGUUUGUAAACUUCUUUUAUACAGGGAUAAACCUACUCUCGUGAGGGUAGCUGAAGGUACUGUAUGAAUAAGCACCGGCUAACUCCGUG
This 489-nucleotide ribosomal RNA is filed under the name uncultured bacterium. RNAcentral's name for it is "partial 16S ribosomal RNA". It matches the Rfam family "Bacterial small subunit ribosomal RNA", at positions 28 to 507 of the family's 1533-position model. The record is from RNAcentral.